GCGUGCGGGAAGAAGGCCUUCGGGUUGUAAACCGCUUUUGUCAGGGAAGAAAAGACUCCUGUUAAUACCGGGGGUUCAUGACGGUACCUGAAGAAUAAGCACCGGCUAACUACGUGCCAGCAGCCGCGGUAAUACGUAGGGUGCAAGCGUUAAUCGGAAUUACUGGGCGUAAAGCGUGCGCAGGCGGUUAUGCAAGACAGAUGUGAAAUCCCCGGGCUCAACCUGGGAACUGCAUUUGUGACUGCAUGGCUAGAGUACGGUAGAGGGGGAUGGAAUUCCGCGUGUAGCAGUGAAAUGCGU
Molecule: ribosomal RNA, 300 nt
Filed under: uncultured bacterium
Lineage: Bacteria
Description: bacterial SSU rRNA
Rfam family: Bacterial small subunit ribosomal RNA
Source: RNAcentral